CCUUCUCAUAGCGUUUACUGUCUGUGAAUCGAGAACUGGAGGACUUCGCUCUGCAAAUACAGCAGCCUUCUAUACUUCGGUACAUCUUUGGCUUGUGAAAACCAAACAUCUUUUCUUCUAGGCAAGUCUUUCAAAAACAGCCGUUCCACGCGCAGUCAGCGUCCCCGAGGUGCGGCGUGCACGCCAGGCCAACCACCCCCACCCCGCGCCUGUCGCUCCCUCCUUCCCCAACUGCCUUGUCUGGGAAGAUUGUCUCCU
Molecule: long non-coding RNA, 258 nt
Organism: Pipistrellus kuhlii (Kuhl's pipistrelle)
Lineage: Eukaryota; Metazoa; Chordata; Mammalia; Chiroptera; Vespertilionidae
Exons: 3
Source: RefSeq, a predicted model, not a curated record